GCCGGGCAUGGUGGCGCGUGCCUAGAGUGCCAGGAGGCUAAGGUUGGAGGAUCACUUGAGUCCAGGAGUUCUGGGCUGCAGUGCUCUGUGCCGAUUGGAUUUCUGCACUAAGUUCAGCAUGAAUAUAGUGACGUCCUGGGAGUAGGGGACCACCAGGUUUGCCUAGGGAGGAGUGAACCGGCCCAGGUAGGAAAUGGAGCAGUUCAAAACUCCCAUGUUGAUCAUUUUGGAUUUGAUCUCAGAAUGUCACUCCCAGGUCACGAUGUCCUCAAGAUCUUGUGUUU
This 284-nucleotide signal recognition particle RNA is filed under the name Carlito syrichta (Philippine tarsier). RNAcentral's name for it is "Metazoan signal recognition particle RNA (ENSTSYG00000026924.1)". It matches the Rfam family "Metazoan signal recognition particle RNA". Rfam says of the family: The signal recognition particle (SRP) is a universally conserved ribonucleoprotein. The record is from RNAcentral. Lineage: Eukaryota; Metazoa; Chordata; Mammalia; Primates; Tarsiidae.